This 405-nucleotide ribosomal RNA is filed under the name uncultured bacterium. RNAcentral describes it as "partial 16S ribosomal RNA". It matches the Rfam family "Bacterial small subunit ribosomal RNA", at positions 28 to 526 of the family's 1533-position model. The record is from RNAcentral.
GACGAACGCUGGCGGCGUGCUUAACACAUGCAAGUCGAGCGGAGCGGCGAACGGGUGAGUAACGCGUGAGUAAUUGCCCCCCUCUCUGGGGUAACAGUUGGAAACGGAUGCUAAUACCGGAUAGUGGGGGAUGACUCGCGUCCUAUCUGCUUGUUGGUGGGGUAGUGGCCUACCAAGGCGACGACGGGUAACCGGCCUGGGAGGGUGACCGGCCACCUUGGGCUGAGAUACGGCCCAAACUCCUACGGGAGACAGCAGUGGGGAAUAUUGCACAAUGGUGGAAACUGUGAUGCAGCAACGCCGCGUGCGGGAUGACGGCCUUCGGGUGGUAAACCGCUUUAAGCCAUGACGCGGUAGUGGCAGAAGAAGCACCGGCUAACUACGUGCCAGCCGCCGCGGUAAUUC